RNAcentral lists this ribosomal RNA (490 nucleotides) under uncultured bacterium. Its description in RNAcentral is "partial 16S ribosomal RNA". It matches the Rfam family "Bacterial small subunit ribosomal RNA", at positions 30 to 507 of the family's 1533-position model. The record is from RNAcentral.
AUUGAACGCUGGCGGCAUGCCUUACACAUGCAAGUCGAACGGCAGCAUGAUCUAGCUUGCUCGAUUGAUGGCGAGUGGCGUACGGGUGAGUAAUACAUCGGAACGUGCCCUGUAGUGGGGGAUAACUAGUCGAAAGAUUAGCUAAUACCGCAUACGACCUGAGGGUGAAAGUGGGGGACCGCAAGGCCUCAUGCUAUAGGAUCGGCCGAUGUCUGAUUAGCUAGUUGGUGAGGUAAAGGCUCACCAAGGCGACGAUCAGUAGCUGGUCUGAGAGGACGAUCAGCCACACUGGGACUGAGACACGGCCCAGACUCCUACGGGAGGCAGCAGUGGGGAAUUUUGGACAAUGGGCGAAAGCCUGAUCCAGCAAUGCCGCGUGUGUGAAGAAGGCCUUCGGGUUGUAAAGAACUUUUGUCCGGAAAGAAAUGGCUCUGGUUAAUACCUGGGGUCGAUGACGGUACCGGAAGAAUAAGGACCGGCUAACUACGUG